RNAcentral lists this unclassified non-coding RNA (15656 nucleotides) under Neodiprion lecontei (redheaded pine sawfly). RNAcentral's name for it is "uncharacterized LOC107227262, transcript variant X4". Lineage: Eukaryota; Metazoa; Arthropoda; Insecta; Hymenoptera; Diprionidae. The record is from RNAcentral.
UCACGGUUGUCAGGUGCCAUGCCGAAAGUUAUAUGAAAUGAAAGGAAGCACCGGCGAUACUCCAAUUCGAAAUCCUGGACGUUGCGUGUUCCUUUGUGGGAUCAAUGGAGUAGACAAGUUCAGUUUCUCUGCGUUUUUCGAUUGGUUACCUUAGUGGAGUGAUGCUGUGUCGUUAAAAUCUGUGGAGGUAUAAUGAUUACGGUGUUGGUUCAAGGUGAAUUCACUGCGCGUUUCCGAGUGUGUGUGUGUGUGUGUGUCUGUGCCCAACAGUGCUUGUCGGUGAAGGUGUGAUGCGAGUCUCUCGAGUUCAAGGCUGGUGGUGAUCAUUCUCGUCGUUCCGUUGAACUUAUAAAACGGAUCUCAGGAAAAUGGUCAGCUUUAAGAAUUGCAACAACACGACAAGUGAGGAGUCCACGCCGCAUCGCCAUCAUCCGGGGACGCUGCGAAGCUCCGUCAACUCCCGGAAGUACCAUCAAGGUCAUCAGCAUCGAAAUGAACCUUCUCUACACGUCUUACCAUCACGCCCGUCGACUCACUCGUCGUCAACGUCGCGCGUCUGCGCUCUCCACUCCAGGCUGGACCAGCCGGUGACGAGUUCAACGCCCGACAUGGACAACAAAAAGGUUGUCCAAGGCGCCGCUUCGCCAGCGCUGGUCCAGAUGCGCCGUAAAAGCGGCGGCGGUGGCGAUGGAUCAGGAAUCGCGGGCUCCGGAAUUCGCCGACGGAGUGGGCCUCAAGGGUUGCGCUCACCCGCUGCAAAGAGGCCCCUUUCGGCCCCGGUAGCCCUUCAGGGCUGGCUGCACAAACAGGGCUCCGAGGGUCUCAUGCUCUGGAAGAAGCGCUGGUUUGUUCUCUCCGAGUACUGCCUCUUCUACUACAAGGGUCCCGAGGAAGAGAAAUUACUUGGCUCGAUACUUCUGCCGUCGUACCGGGUGACGGCGUGCAGGCCGGAGGACAAAGCGAACAAGAAGUUCGCCUUCAAGGCGGAGCACGCGAAUAUGAGGACAUACCUCUUCGCCGCAGACUCGAGGGAGAGCAUGAACCAAUGGGUGAACGCGCUGACACUGGCAACCUUGCUCCAGGACCCAAACCCGGGCGGAGGCGAUAUGGCGAUAGCCUUGGAAUUGGCGGGUCCAGCAGAUGGCGAGCGAAGCGCGCGUCCGAGCGUCUCCUCGAUAUCCUCUAUCCUGAACCAGAGCGCGGACGACAGUGACAGCGGUUUCCACGGUUUCCAGUCGCGGGAUGACCCGAGCCACGCCUCGAACAACAACUCGAGUCCAAACAGCGUGAACACCGCGUCCUUCGCGACCUUGAACAACGUCCACGAGGUCCAAACGCAACCCGUUCAGCCGGUGAUAAACGGGUGGAUGCAGCAGUCCCCGCAGUACUCGCAGCCCGGGACUUCUCAGCAACAACAACAACAGCAGCCAGGGGCCUAUACCCCGUUACCGGGGCCCUCGCACCAGCACAAGCAGCAGCAGCACCAGCAGCAAGGCCCGCAGCCAGGGCCCAGCAACGUGCAGACGGUUCAACCGAUGCCCCGGAACUUUGGCCAGCCGCUUUACGCCAACGCACCCCCGAAGCCGCGCCGACUGACGGAGGGAUCUAACGAGUACUCGACACCCUCGCCGGACCUCGACGCCCUGCAUCCCGAUUGUCGUAAGUCCCCCGUCUCUCCCGACGUACGCGCCGCCACCAAGAGUCCUGGGUCCGAGUACGAGAGGGGCAGCGUCGUUUACGUUACGCGGAUGUCCCAGCCACCCCAGACCCUCAGGACCGACAAGUCGGGACUCAACUACGGUUAUGCCUCCGCUCAGUCCCAGCCUACCGAGAGACGUACACCCGACACCUACGGUAGGAGCGCCAAGCCAAGGUCAUCCAGGGGGAACGGCGACUACGAGGACGUCUACGGCGCUCCACAGCUUUAUCAGAGACCAGCGGGUCCCGUUGGAUACACCAAGGGACCCGCCCCGGCACCCAUACCGAUUCCCGUUUACGCCCAACAAAGUCCACCCCAGCAUCCGCAGAUGUAUGCCGUUCUUCCUACGCAAGCCGCUCCUGUAAUGAGACAGCCCAGGGCGCAACCCCCGCCUCGGCCGCACAGCGCUGACUUCUUGGAAUACGAAGCGACGCGGAGGCCUCAGCAACAGCCUCACGUUCAACCGGGUAUCGUUACGGCCCAGCAACGCCGACCUCAGCGACCCAAAUCGAGUCUCGAUGUCGUCAACCCGUCAGACGCGCCGACUAAUGACGGAUACUUUUACUCCGAGGAAAGAAACGCGAAUGAAUAUUCAAGGUACGCCGCCCAGAUGCGCCAGUCCGCCGUUUACUUGCAUCAGACGCCUCAGCAUCACCAGCAGCAACGUAAUCAGUCCUUAUCGCGCGCCACUACGCCAUCCAAACCCACCUCCUCGAGAGAACGGGACGCCGAAUCCAGCGUAGGCAGCAUAAGCGAAACUUCCAGCUUGGCCCUCAGACGAUCUCAGAGGGAUCAGAGUUCCGCCUUGCAGCAGCAACAGCAGCACCACCAUCACCUUAUCUCGUCUCAUUCCCUUCAACGUCACUCUGAAAUAGCAAGCGAGUCACUGGUGAGACGAUCGCUCCGAGAGCGAAGUUACGAGCAGGCAGUUCCCUCCGGCAGGGAACUUUUGCUCGGCGGUGUUCCGGGUGAAGGGGCCACUGUGCCUCGACGAAUACAACGCGAUUCUCGUACCGAGUACGACACGUCAACCGGUGGGAGGGCCAGGCGGUGGAACGAGCAGCAGUUUGCCAGGUCAGCAUCGGCUCGUCUGCCCCGCACACGGCAUCAGGUAGACCGAGACGAAGACGAUUACGCGGAGCGAUCGUCGGGACAGGAUUCACGCGAUGGGGAGCGGAAGAUCCAACAGAGAGAAGAGUCAAUGAAGCGACUACUCGAAUGGAAACAGCGAAUGCUGCAGAGUCCGUUAACGAGGAAACCCGCUAGCUCUGGAAGUCGUGUACAGGGAAUUGCCCAGAAUGAACUGUCGAGCUAUUACAAACAGCAGGCUUUCCUCGAACUCGCUGCCCACGAAGCAAGCCUCGCCGAGGCUCGGCAAGCCAGGAGACGGGACGAUGGACAUCGGACUCAUCCUCGGAGCAAAAGCACUGACGGCAGACGAUCCGUCACCAACAACGUUUCCCGGUACAACAGUUAUUCCAGCGACGACGAAGAGUUGGGCAACGUGAGGCACAAGCGAACCCGUAGACCCUCCCACGCUGGCAGGAGCCCCCGGCAGGUUCUGGACGAGCGGACGUUGUCGUCUGCUGCCUCUUCUUCCGCAACCUCGAUCACCACCACAACCACCAGCACCGCCAUGAUCACGACAGCCGCAACAAGCGCCGCCUUGAAUUAUCCGACGAGAGUGAGCGCGAACGGCGAAACCGUUUCCUCGCCAAUUCAUCCGUCGGCGUUCCCUCCCCAGUAUGAGAACAGCCGACAUAAAAACGCGUCCCGGGGGAGCCGUCAGCCUUGCGGUAUCCCGCCUGACGCCGGAUACGGGGAAAUCGGCUUCUCGCCGUCGUCCUACGAGGCUAUAAACAACCCGAGAUCGACGGUGAGGAGAUCGACCCGGAAGGAAUCCGGGCCGGAAGUUGGCACCGGGGUGGAUCCCAAGUGGCAGCAUAAUGAAACGCCGAAGAAACCUACAGGGAUUCUGAAACAGACGAGCGCCCUUUGCCACCCUCCGUGCAAUGACCAAUCGAGCAACUCCGAGGGGAGGCUCAGCACUCUUGCCGGUUACAUACCCAACGACACUUGGCACGGGCACAAGAACGUCCAGUGGAACUCUACGAGAGGUGAUAAGGAUGACUGGGAGACGAAAAUUGACGAGGCCAAAGUAAUCAAGGAAUUCUCUUAUCAGUACAUCAAACCUGAGCAAAACCCCCAGGACUCAACGCCGCCCGAUGUACAGGCCGUAAAUCUCGUUCAGUCCAGGAUCAAGUCCUUCGAGUCAAGCCUGGAUGAAACACCAGGGUCGCUGCUCGCCAUGCAGGAGCCUCUCAAAGUUUCUCCGCCCCAGGCAACGGAGGCUCACGUUUCACGACUCGAUCCGACACGGAACACGACCGUCAUCCGCGACUUUGCACUGGGCGAUUCGAGCCGGGAGACCAAAGAUUCCGUCGGCGUUGAGGAGGAAGCCUCCACGGACGAUGGAAACAAGUCGGUGAAGGACCUCCUUGCCGAUUUCGAGCGGAAAUCGCAGCAGGCUCAGAAACAGGAGAAUGACAAGAACGAGGAGUAUAAACAGCAGCAGAAUCGCGGGGUGUUGAGCGACACCGAAACUCUCCUUUACGAAACGGGUAGCGACCUCGAUCAGCCGAGUAAAAAUGUCGCGGAGGAAGACGAGAACCGGGAAAUCCAGAGGUCGGUGAACGUCGAGGAGAAUUUUACGGGGACGAUAAGGAGGAGAAAGGACCUCGGUGACAAGAGCAGGAAAGUCAAGGAUUCGAAGGCUGGCUCGGAGAACGAGGCGGAAGCUGCAAACACCCAGGAAAUUUCCAACCCCUGUUACACGCGGCUGAGCGUUACCGAAUCCUUGGUCACUCACGACGAUCAGCUGUCGGUGGAAAGCGAACUGACCAGCCCGGCCUCGAAACCAGAUGACUUCAACCCGGAGGAACACUACAUGCCGAUGGCACCGAGGAAGGCGAUUCUGGACCCGUCGAACGAGCGUCCAAAUUCAAAGAUGAUGGAGAGCCUCUUCGCGAGUCUGGACCACGAAGAAAAUUCUUACGUCGAAAUGAGCCAGAACGGCAUCGGGCACUCACUUCUCGCACCCGAUGAUCAAGACCGGAAACACGACUCCGGUGAUUACUCGACUCUCGAUCCUCCCCACUACGAGUUCGUAUGUGUUGCUGACAAUAAAAUGGAGCCGGUCUACAUGGAGGUCAGCCAGCUUGCUGACAAGGAGGACACCGAGUCGUCGGGGAAAAAAGCCAAGACGAAGAGAGACUCGGGAAAUGACGUUCUUCCGCCGAGGCCCGACCUUCCGGACAUCCUGACUGCCCUCAAAUCCGACAGUUCCGACGCUGACGACGAGUCAUCCAAGGACCUCGACUCCCUCGACGCUCCUCGGCAUCCUCGGUUCAGUCUCUCCGACACCUUUCGCCCGGCCUCGUAUUACUUGGGAGCCAGCCAGGCGCUCAUUGCCGAGCUCCACGACUCGUCGGACAGUGAACUUGUUUCGCCACCGCCGAUCCCGACCUCAUUGCCACCCCUGGACGACCUCGAUUCCCUCGAGAUUCAAGACUCCUUAGGCGAAGCGAAGAAGGUCGCGCCUCAGGUGGCAGCGAGUCGGGACAGCCUAAACAGCAGGGACUCACCAAAGUCCUGGAACAAGCCCGCGGGUCAAGUCGAGACGCACAGACCACCCUCGAGGUUCUCCGAUACUACGAUAAGCUCGACCUUCCGCGACAGUCGAAUGUCGCUCGAGAGUGCCUCGGGCAGCGAUUCUGUGGAGCUUAGAAGCCCCGAGGAGGAGGCCAGGCACCGUCAGAUGAAGCGACGCCCGGUAAGCGACGAGGUCUGCGAGGUCCUCGACAGUCUGGACGAGCUCGAGUCCCUUGGGAGCCGUUUCGACGGGGCAAGUAUCGACCUGGAUCAGUACCUCGAGGAACUCCAGGCCCGGGACGCGUUCAACGUUGAUCUGUACGCAAAGGACCUGAGCUACAACAGCAUAUACGGAUUGAACGAGUCGAUGCUCGCCACGGAUAAACACCUGCGAAAAACAACGAGUCAGGAAAUAUCCGGCAAGGGUAAUCUCCCCUCGUACAACACCCUGGAUCAGCCUUACCAGUACGGUGCCAGAACGAAGACGAGCUCGGCCAGCAGUCUGCCGUCGAUGAGGGUCAGCGACCUACCCCCGAUGCAUCAGCACUCCCAGUCCUUCACCGGCGACGUUCACUACGAGAACGUGGUCAGCUUUUCAACGCUCCGCAGUUCCCCCGGCGUUCGUUCAGAGCACGGCGACGGUUCUAAACCGGGGGAAAAUUACCGCGGUCAGAAGAUACCGUCCCAUCAGCGACCCAGCCCCUUGAUUUCUCACAGCAGAGACUCCAGCUACUCUCUAAUAUCCGGAAAUGCUUCGGUAUCCACUUCCGUUGCCUGCCAACGACCCAGUAGCGCUCAGUCAUCCUCCGUCAUGUCGCAGAUGGGCUCCGUUUCCCCAUCCGCGCCUGGUAACGGCAUUCCAAACGCUUCGUACUUCGAGCAGAAUCGCCGAUCGCAGGGGCGACACUCCCGCGAAACGAGCCAGGACUCGGCCCGCUUCUCUUUAUCGCCGAAUCACAGAUCAUCCGCGAGUCAGGACUCGGGUCAGUACCCAGCGUCCACUUCCACCGUCAAGCUCAGCCCCCAGUCCGCGUACUACAACGCGAGCCAGGUGCAGAACGACCAGAACGGGGCGCCGUACUACUACAGCGACCUGCAGGCCGGUGUGAGCGGAAUAGACGCGCUGAUCAACCGCAACUCGGCCUCCUCGAGGCUUCCGCAGCUAAACAAUCAACGCGGGGACGCGGCCUUAGCGGCCAACAAGAGGAACGACAUCGGUCGCAUGGUGAAUCCCAUUCCGAGACAGAUGCCGCGGCAGAUACAGGUCGAGGACAUCGACGAGGCCAGGCGGAUUGCCGCGGAACUUAGGAAGUCCAGCACCCAGUUUCUCGCUGAGAAGAAAGCCGGGCUUUUUCAGGUCGACAAGCGGAACAUAUAUGAGGCCGACACCCUCAGGAGGGUCAAGUCGACCGACCCUCUACCUGACGUCUCCAUGAUCCCGGACCUCAACUCGCGGAACAUUUACCCGCACGGUAUCCGCGAUAAGACGCAAGAUGAGCCCAACACAACACCGAGCGGAUCACGUUUUCAGGUGGAAAUCGGCACCCGGUACGCCGCUCAUCGGAGGUCAAGGUCGCUCGAAGGCCUUCUGGACGAUGCCGAGCUACAGAAUCUGGUCGAGCAGAGGUACGGCACCGGGCAAAUGAUCGGCUCGAGGCAACAGCGGGAAACCACGGUCCAUCCUUCGCCCGUGCACAACCAGAACAGAUUCAACGGCGAGGAUCCCUGGGAGCAGGACUCGCUGUGGAGGGAGAGUCUGCGCAGGGUCAGCCUGAGGCACGCGAGAUCCCUCGACAAUUUGGAAGCCUCCGUCGGUCCGUCCGCUGUUCAAGAUGGGCGGAUAGCCGGAGCGCAGGGGUCGAAGGGUCGAGCGCGUAUCACGAGGGGCGCGACCUACGUGAACGACAGCGUGAUUCUGCGGAGGGAAGCCUCGGAGGUGGCCGGGGAGAGUCACAGGAUGCGAAGAAGACAGGCUGCCGCGAAAGACCGGGAUCAAAGCGAAGCGCAGGGAAUGCAACGUGGGGAGGAAGUCGACGAGGGUCGAAGAGAGGAAGAGGAGGCGGAGGAAGGGAAUCCGGGGCCCGAAGAAGAGACCUACGAGAGGCUGGCCAUGGACAGAAUUGGCGUCGGCGGUUACAUCUGGGACUCGGAGAACGAGGCGUACCGGAAACCGGGGACUGCAGCGGCGGCUGUCCUCCAGCAACGCGACACUGAGCAUGAUAAUCGGCAGAAUUUUUUAGCCGAAGGCAACCUUCCCCCAGCUCCGGCGAUGGCGGAGGCGUCACGCGGGUCUACGGCAACGUCCGGUUCGUUCGAAAUCGACCGGGAGAAGCUGCGUCAGUGGGACCUGCUCUCGAGCGCCUGCUUACUCCAGGAACAGCAACGGACGUCAAUGUCGGAGUCGGGGCGAGGGUUGCCGACGACAGCAACGAGCAGGCAAGAAGACGGAUCGGCGCCGGCGCGACACCAGGAGUCGACGGCAGACUCGACGAUCCCAAUCGCGAACGAAACUUCGGGUGUUUUAACGUUCGAUACGCGCCGUGUCCCGCCCGGUCAUCCGGACGCCAACGAGGCCCAGGGCCAGGACGACGGGACGACGGUUACUCGCGGAGCGGCGACGACGGACGGCUCCAGCAGUGCAAACGGUACAGCCUCCGGGUCGGGAUCGGUGAUCGGACGAGACCCCCUGCCACCCAGAGCCAUCAGCACGUCUCAGCUACCCCAGAGAACGCUGACGCAGCCUCCUCUUCCACGAGGAAACGCGCACCACCCGGCGCAUCCGGUUCAGCAAACGACACUUCCGGUCACCCGCCCGUUAGAACGUACCGCCGCCGCUAGCCUAGCCGAUAUCAGGAUCACCUUUGCCGGGGAGGCGAGAAUCACGUCGCCAGGAAACGGCCAGUUGAAGCAGCAGCACCAGGACCAGUCCGCUCAGCGCAGGAUGGCCGGACCCUUGAGGGUUAUUUCCCCUAAUGGACACAGGGUUUCCAGUCCGAACGAGAGCGAGUCCCAUUCGCGCAGUCCAAGCGAGCGAACAAUCGGCAGUCCUGUCGGUCGAGAUAUCGAGAGAAUUGAACGGGGGGGCGGAAGCGGUGUCGACGUAAAUGGUCACGGCAGGCAAAACCAUUGCAGUGCCAACAAUCGGGACAACAAUGAGCUUCUGAACAAAAGGCUAGAAACGCAGAGAAGCCGUCUGGACAAAUCGUUGACGUUUACUUCUGGCGAAAAUCCUCACCGAGGUGGAAAAGGAUCAGGAGGUGACCUGGUCCAGGUUUCAGCCGGAGAAUUGCUGGGUCGAACCCACGAGGAAUUGGUUUUGCUACUGAUCCAGCUACGCCGGCAAAGUGCAACGCUCUGCAAAGCCAUGGAGACUUGUCACGUCGAAAUUGAAUCUCAGGCCAGACUAGCUGAACUUGAUACACCCAGACGUCUCGAGAAUUUGCAAAAGCUCGAGGAACUCAAGAAGCAUCUAAUGGAUUUGGAAAAACAGUACGAGAAAGGCAAGCCGAUGGUUAACCUUGUUGACAAUAUGGUGAAGCUUGGCUCGUUAUACAACCGCGGUACGACGACUAACGGUACCGGUGGAGUGUCGAGUUCCCGUCACGACCUCGUCCAGGAGAAGACUAGGGAAGUACGAGAUCGUCUGGAGUUUAAUCAGCGUGUCCAAGAGCAGCGACUCCUGGCCGAGGAACGUCGGGACUGGGACAGGCUGAGUCCCGAUCACGGACAGCUCCAGGCAAAGGUUCAGCAGCUUUACAAGUUGGAUCGGUUACUCCAGGAGGAAUCCGGGACGCUGCACAGUCUCCAACAGGACAAGGAAAUAUUGGAAAAGGCUCUGGGCGGAUUGAGGAACAAACUUCAGGGGAGCAGGAGCAAUCCGGCCGAAGUGGAGCGCUACCGGAAACAGCAGCUACUUCUCGAGCGGGAAUUGAGCAGAGUCAGAUUGCUGCUUGCCCACAACUCGAAGAAACUCGAGGAGACCGUGGCUGAAAACGCUCGCCUCGAACAGGAACUCGUCGUCCUGAGACAAAAGCUUCAGGCGUCCCGACGGUACGCCGGAAACGUGACCAGGGAUCCCUCGGGAACAACUGCCGCCCUUGAGGCUGAGCUUAGACGAGUUCAACAGCUGGUCGGCGACCUGCAGCGACAACGUCAGGAACUUAGCAUUCAGGUCCGUCAGUUGACGGAAAAGUCGCACAGCCUUGUGCAGCAGAUACGACCGCAGCAUGUGACUUCUCCGCAGGUUCAUCACCAUCGGUCGAAGAAACGCAGCCACAGUUCUUGGCUCGAGACCGACCUUGACUCGGGGAUGACGCUGGACCAUGGAUUGGACUCGCCGACGAGCUCCGUUCCUUCCGGCUCGCCAGGCAUCCGGCAAAACGGAAGUCCCCAUCAGCAUCAGCACAGCGCUUCCUCUCCCCAGUACAAGGACCCCCCGCCGGUACCUUACAAAGAGCACAAUAUCGGCGUGGGUUCGACGCAGCACAAUGCUCAGACGUACUACAACCAUUCGUCUCAUAACCAGCAGCCCCAGCAUUACCAUCGAGUAUCUGCCCACUCGCCCCAAAGCCAAAUAUCCGCAUUGUCGCCCCAGCUUCGCGAACAGAUCCAUCAGCAUCAGCUGAAACAGCAACAACUCCGGGACCAGAUGCAGGGCAAGGGAAGUCCUGUGCAGAACAAUGUCCCAGGACCGCUUUACGUCAAUACUGAUUCCAGGAGACAAGACUCAACGAAAUACCUUGAGUCUAACUCCGGCAACCCUCCAGCUCCACCUCCAGAAUACGUGCCGCCACCACCACCUCCGCCAUCCGAAGAAGCGCUUCUUAAUGGAAAUUAUGCGCAAAACGAUGAAAGCAAAUUCAGUGGCCUGAUGCAUGGACGUGAAAAACAGGAGAUAAAAACUGUGCGAAUAGUGAAACGGGAAUCCGAACGACGGCAAAGGGAUCGAGGCGACCGGACGGGAAAUAUUGGGAUUCCGUUGACGAACGGAUUGCAGGUACCAGGAAGCGCGAAGAGGCUGAACGAGGAUGACUUCGGAGGCUCGCAACAGUUUGAGAAAUCUCAGCUGGACAGGGUGAUGGAGGAGUCAGCGGCAAUGAUUCACGCCCAGAGCAGCGUUCAGCUUUCGGAAAUGGACGACGUGCAAUUCCAGCGCAGCAUGUCCCUCCCACGGGGAUUUGGCGGGCAGCGACCACAGCCAGGAAUUCAUCAGGGUCCGGUGCCGGCGCCACCGCGAAGUGACAGUAUGAACGCCCUCAGGAACAUGAUGGUCCGCCGCCACAGAGUACGGUUUGAGAACCAAGACGGAAGCUCGGACAGCACAUUAUCGCCUCACACAGAGAGUCCAAAUUCUGGCUCCCAAAUGGCGACGAUGAGUUCGCCGAAUUACUCGAUCAGCCCUCCGUACAGUCCGAGUCAUCAGAACUAUUCGCCUAUUCAAUACUCUCGAGGCGGAAGUGGCGCGAGCGGGAUUUCCGGCCAGGGGAUGCCGGUGCCCUCCCAAUAUUAUCCUCAACCCGCCGUUCCUCCAGGGACGAGCUUCGCGAUAUCCUCGAAUCCUGGCAGUCCGGUCGCCACUUCGCCUCCAACCGCCCACGAGAGGCUUUUCGGAUCGGCAGCAAGCAUCAACAGUCUUCGUGAUUCACCCCAGCUCUCUCCCGUAUUCAAAAGCGAAGCCGCGAGGCAGAUCAUCAAGGAAAUGGCCGAGAAGAGGUCCGAGGGACCAAGGAGAAGGCCCGUGCCUAAAGAAAAGAGGCGACACUACACGGUGUCCAGCAGCAAACCGAUUCUCGAUCUCGAGGACACCUUUUCCAAGAUGGGAAUGGGUCGCGCGAGAGACGAUCUUGACAUGGAACGAGCUUUGAGGCCGCGUAUCAAUGCUCCUGACGUGGUCAGGUCGACCCUCAGCCACAAAGAGCUGAAAUACAACGAGAGCACGAUUGACAACCUGCUUGGUACACCAAACAAAAUUCUGAUCCCGGAACGCUACAUUCCGGAACAGACUCCGGAGCUAAGUGCAGAGGAGCAGGAACACCGUCUUAAGAAGGCUGAAUCAAUUAGAAAGAUGCUAUCUGAGACGACGGUGACAGCGCCCGAAAAUCCUGAGGAAGAAGUUGAUCAGCAAAAGUCAAAUACCUUGAAGAAAAAAGUUGCUGAAGAAAAACGACAAAGAGAACAUAUAUUACAGCUUAAUCAAAUUCUAGCUAAGCAAGUUAUGGAGAAGAGUAAGAUGGUUGCUGGUAACCAGGCGCACUGACAUCACAUGCUUCCAUCUCCAUGUAGGACUACUACACACGCCACAUUAUAUGUUUUCAGUGAAAGCACUGGCAACGCUUCCGUUGGCGCCAUCAGAGCCAAGCUUCGAAGAAGAUGACCUCUCGCCAGUGACCCCGUUACCCCUUUACCAGCAAAGGGAGAAUUUUUACUCGUAAGCACAAAAUAAGGUAUAGAUAUUGCACGCUGCAUAAUCAAACGUAUUUUAAGUUGGUACAGUCGAAAAGGUACAACAUAAACCCGUACGAAACCGAAGGGAAAUUACUGCCAAUUAUAUAUAUAUAGGAAUAUAUACAUAUAUAUAUUAUAUGGGAAGAAUAACUUGACUAAAAACAUCGCAUAAACUAAAGUUCGACGAAUAAACCGAUAUAUAGUACAUCACUUGUGUAGUACACGUCAAUAAUUAACUAAAUUACGGCUAUAUGUAUAAUUGAAAGAAAAAAGACUUGCUACAAGAGAGGAAACGACGUGUAUCAUAAAAUCAUGUAAUAAAAAUCUAUAUAUGUACAGUAGGUAUACAUAACUACCUAUCUAGGUAACAUGUUAAGAAUUGAGGACAGAAUUUACAUUUGCAAUGAUACGUGCGAAUAAAAGAUAUAUAAUAAAUGUAUAGAAAAAAUUGUUGUUGAAUUCAAAUAUCAAAGGACUGAACUUUUAUCAUCGCGCUAACAAUAAUUUAAUGUAGACACACGAUAUGAGUAAUAUGUGUGUAUGAAAAUAACGUAGAAUUAUCAAUGGUAAUAGUAUACGAAAUUAAAUUCCGACUGCAUACAAAAUCGGCCAGUAUUGAAUCAUUGCACAAAUUUUGGUACAUCGUAACGAAUACCGUUUUCGUUUUUUAAUUGCUUUUACUAUUCUUAAUCUUUUUCUUCUAAACUUCUGGAUCUAAUUACGAUUUUGCGUUUAGAUGAGGUAAAAAUUUUAGCAAUGAAGGUGAGAAAUCACCGCGCCAGUUUUUUUGAGUUGCCUAUAAAUCUUGAAAUUCGAUUUUUCGAUAAUGAAAUAACGAAUAAAUGUACUCGCGAUCACAGCGCGACUUGAAACUUCCUUUAUUACAUUACACAUUUGUAUAUAAUAUAGUAUUCACAAAACUAUUCAUAGAAUCAUGUACGUUAAUUAUUGUACUAUAAUAUUAUUAUUAUUAAACUAACUAUCGAGAUGAUGGAAUACUUCAAAAGCGUAACAAUUCACGUAAAUGAAACGGAGUCUUCUCUUUUUAGUAAUAAAAAUACUAGGAAUGUACGACAAAGCAUUUUUGAAAAUAAUACUACCAUUACUAUGAACCACGUAAUAAUCGCUGUAAUAUUUAAAUGCAUGGAAAAAUCAAAAAACCAAACACGGAAAUCCUUGAAUCGCAGAAAAAUCUAUAGUUAUGAAAGAAAAUGAGGCAAUAAAUAAUAUCGGAAUUAAAUUACUAACAAGUGCCAAGUUUAAUAACCAAUGAAUAUGUACGUGUAGAUCGCAAGUAUUAUUUGAACUUGAAAUUCCAUUCGGAACGAAACUGACCAAUUGUAAUAACUGUAUUAACAUUGAAGAAAAGUAGCUGGAUUAUCGAAUGAAAACGUGACAGGUAUAAUAACAAAUAUCGUGUAACGCGUGGCGUGUAAAACAUGAAAUUUUUCAUCUUUAUUUCCGUAACGGUAUUCUUUUAGUUAUUAUGCGCAAUAAAUAAAGAAAAAAUAGUCUACGUUACGCUUGACGCUUGUGUGUACGAUUAUAUUAACACCGCAUAUAAAUAUAAUAAUUCAUACUUAUAUAUUUACAGUCUUGUAGUAAAUGUUUAAAUAACUAAAUAAUCAAUUAGAACGAAUUCUGAAAUUAUUAUGUACUCGUUUGCUUUCCUAUUCGUCUAUUGGCCGCAUACAACGUCAAUGACUUCGGUACAGCUUUAAAUCUCAUAGCAGCGUACGUCGUUUAAUGAAUACAAAUAUAAUAUAAUUAUAUUAUAACUAUAUUAUAUUAGCAGCGUAUUUUCAAUCUCGUAUUAUUUUCGAGAUUUUUUAAUGUAGCCUGUAAGCAUAUUAAAGCCAGUUGAUACGCCUAAAGUGUCGGUGCAUGCACUGUAUAUAAUAAAUAUACUAUCGGUAAAGCGCGCUGUGAUCAUAACGGUUUUAUUUACAUCACAUUUACAAUUUUUUUAGAAUUUUGUUUUUUAUCAGUUAGUUUUUAAACUGAGUAAUAUUUUAGAAAUUAAGAAUCAAAAUACAACAUAUUUGAUAACGGACUAAUCUGGUAUUGUCAAUUGACACAAUAAUAGCAACUUAUUGCAAUUUUUUCAUACCCUUAUAAAUGUUAUGUAUCAUUCCGUUACACUAUAGAGGGAGUUAAUUGCGGUACACUAUCACCUUCGCUAAAGAAAUACAUUCGAUUUAAUUUAACGAUAUUAAAUUGUUCGUUCGCGCGAUUUACUCAAAUUAUAAUUGUAAAAUUAUCACAAUAACCGCGACUUGCAUCAGCUGUUUAAAAUUAGGUGGUAGACAAUCAAUUUCACUCAUCUAGUGAAAUAACGAAUAUUACAUUCAAAAAGGAUUAUUUUAAUUAUCAUAUUUCCGUUUAAUUUUCGUACUUGUACGUUGUUAUUUCUUCGAAUGCGUAUUACUUUCAACUAUCAAUUAGACAAUAAUAAUAAGUGUAUAUCGAUGUUAGGAUUAUAUAAAUAUAUACAUAUUAGAUAAAAAGUAACAAAUACCGCGAAAGAUAGAGAAAAGAGAAAAUUAAUUUAUAAAAAUUAUAAGGGCAUGUAUACAUAAAAUCGACUUUUAUCGCAGAUUAUAAUUUCUGGGUGAAAAAUAUUGUAGUUAUAUACAUACGUGUAUAUGAAUAUAGAUACAUGAAAAUGAUUAAAUAUUGUAUCAUAAAGUUAUAUUAUAUGUAUGUAACGACGUGUAUCGGUUUCGUAAAAUAGACAUACAAUAACGCAGAGUAUUAUAAUAGAUAUGAAUAUCGUGUAAAUACAAUGAUCGUAUAAUAUAGAGUAGGUGAAUUAACGGUAUAUAAAAAGAUCAAUAUCAAUGAUAUCAUACGUACAUACAUAUGUAUACAUAAAUAUGUAAAUGUAUACAGAUUGCGUGAAAUUUCAACCUACGUCUUUUACUGUUUUUAUUACCUCUCAUUCCGAACUAUGCAUACAGUAAAAUGUACCAAGUAAAUUGCAACAGUGUUUGUCAAUUCAGAGACUUCAAAAUGGAGUAAGAAAUUGCCGCUUCACACAGAAAAUUGAGAGACAGGCAAAGUUGUGAAUAUUACAAAAUACAAAUCAAUAAUGUUUUUUAUUUCCGAAACUCGUCAGUUCUAUUUCCUUUUAUUUGUGAAAACGCGAUUUCGCUACUUUGUAGAUGGCAUGCCUGACCUUUCGCGUACAUAUGUAUACUACGGUAUAUCCGUAGGUAUGCAAAAUAUCAGUAGGUAUUUACAGAUGUAUAGUUAUGGAUACGAUCAAUCCUAUUACGGAUUAUAACGGCAACGCGUCGACAGAUACUGACACAGAAAUAUGUUAUAUAUGAAUCAUAUACAUAUACAUAUAUAUUAAACAACAAAGAAAUAUUCGUUAAUUAUAGUCCGCGUGGUUGAAAUUCUCAAAACUCGAAUGUUCAUAAAUCAUUAUUAUUAUUAUUGUUAUUAUUAUUAUUGUUAUUAUUAAUAUUAUUAUUAUUAUUGUGAGAAACAAAAAAUUGAUCCCCGUUAUACGCUCAAUUAUAUUGUUUUUACGUUACACUGAAAUCUGUUGAUUAUUGCAUAGCUGUAUUAUAAUAUACAUAUACAUAUAUAUUAUACACGACUAUAAUAUUUUUCAGUAUUGGUCAGAGUGUGUAUACAUACUUUAUACCCUCACGGCUGUUUCAUUUCUUCAAAUUUCAUUUUCUUCUAAAAUGAUGUGAAAGAAAUACCUAUAUGCCAAAAGAAACACGCCAAAUAAGCUUGCGGCAGAAAUAAUUAAAAUCGAGAUGGUGCAUCACAACGGUUGAAAAUAAAUUUCCCGUUAUACAUACUCUCCAUAUACUGUUUAACGAGAAAUAAACAAACUGGUUUUUAA